Long non-coding RNA from Hermetia illucens (black soldier fly), 753 nucleotides. RefSeq lists it as uncharacterized. The transcript is spliced from 3 exons. NCBI's taxonomy places the organism in Eukaryota, Metazoa, Arthropoda, Insecta, Diptera, Stratiomyidae. The record is from RefSeq and is a predicted model, not a curated record.
GAAAUUGUUUAAUUACGGGGUGCGCUGCAGUUCCGUCGUGGCUUGAAACUUGUUGAAGCAAUCAACCGAAAAGCUUUCAUAACUUGUCAACAAUUAAAAAUAAUUGUCACGAGUUUUCCAUCGUCUACGUCUUUAUUUUUAUACAUUAUGAAAUUACGAAAUGGAGAACUUCCUGGUGUGCAUACGUAUGGAUAUGCUGGCAAACAUUGGCCAGAAAGUCCUUUGGAAAGUCACGGAAAAAUGAAAUGGGUGGGUCGCCAUUCAUCAUAAACAAUUAUUCCCUAAUGAAGUCUUUGAAAUUCAAUGCGGAGGUGCCCAUUGAAAAAAGAUAACUUCAUUCAGCAGAUGUAUCUAAAAAACCGUGAAGAUGGAACGCUUCAAGAAUUCACUGUCACCAAUCAUCUCGGGAUAUUUCAAUAAAAUUCUGGAGGGUCAUAAAUCAAUCGAUAAAUUUAGUGAUGGAAACAUGUUGCGAUGUCCCAAAAAAGUCAGGAAAAAUCUGAUACCAGACUUUCUUCGAAACUUUCUCAUGAAAAAACUAGAGAGUCAUGUUCGCUUUAGAUAUUCUCGAAGGAAUCACAGCAUCCUGACGCGUAUAUAUCUUGCGUUGUAACUUGAAACGAUGUGACACAAUAUUUGUGAGGAAGGAAGAUUUGUUAGAUAUGGUGAUGAUGGCAUGUUUGGCAUCGUCGACAGUGCGUUGUAAGUUAAAUAUUAAGUUGGUGUUUAUAAACAGCAAACAACAAACAAACA